Molecule: ribosomal RNA, 468 nt
Filed under: uncultured bacterium
Lineage: Bacteria
Description: partial 16S ribosomal RNA
Rfam family: Bacterial small subunit ribosomal RNA
Source: RNAcentral
GACGAACGCUGGCGGCGUGCUUAACACAUGCAAGUCGAACGGAAAGGCCCUGCUUUUGUGGGGUGCUCGAGUGGCGAACGGGUGAGUAACACGUGAGUAACCUGCCCUUGACUUUGGGAUAACUUCAGGAAACUGGGGCUAAUACCGGAUAGGAGCUCCUGCUGCACGGUGGGGGUUGGAAAGUUUCGGCGGUUGGGGAUGGACUCGCGGCUUAUCAGCUUGUUGGUGGGGUAGUGGCUUACCAAGGCUUUGACGGGUAGCCGGCCUGAGAGGGUGACCGGCCACAUUGGGACUGAGGGACGGCCCAGACUCCUACGGGAGGCAGCAGUGGGGAAUAUUGCACAAUGGGCGGAAGCCUGAUGCAGCAACGCCGCGUGCGGGAUAACGGCCUUCGGGUUGUAAACCGCUUUCGCCUGUGACGAAGCGUGAGUGACGGUAAUGGGUAAAGAAGCACCGGCUAACUACGUG